This 172-nucleotide unclassified non-coding RNA is filed under the name uncultured fungus. RNAcentral describes it as "sequence contains ITS1". Lineage: Eukaryota; Fungi. The record is from RNAcentral.
CUGAGACUGGGUGCUUCGGCGCCCGACCUCCAACCCCCUGUUUACCUUACCACUGUUGCCUCGGCGUUUCCGUCCGCCUCCCUCUAGCAGGGGGUGCGGGGGUGCGCCGGCGGCCAAAACAACAAACCCUUCCUUCAAACCAGCAAUCUGAGAAAUUAUUUUAAUAACUUCA